This 712-nucleotide ribosomal RNA is filed under the name uncultured Pseudomonadota bacterium. Its description in RNAcentral is "bacterial SSU rRNA". It matches the Rfam family "Bacterial small subunit ribosomal RNA", at positions 115 to 823 of the family's 1533-position model. The record is from RNAcentral. Lineage: Bacteria; Pseudomonadati; Pseudomonadota.
GCGUGAGAAUCUACCCUAAAGUGGAGAAUACCUUCGAGAAAUCGAAGUUAAUACUGCAUACGUCCCUUCGGGGAGAAAGAUGGCUUAUUCUAGCUGUCGCUUAAGGAUGAGCUUGCGUGCUAUUAGCUAGUUGGUAGGGUAAUGGCCUACCAAGGCGAUGAUGGCUAGUCGGCCUGAGAGGGUGUACGACCACACUGGAACUUAGACACGGUCCAGACUCCUACGGGAGGCAGCAGUGAGGAAUAUUGCGCAAUGGGCGAAAGCCUGACGCAGCGACGCCGCGUGAAGGAUGAAGGUCUUCGGAUUGUAAACUUCUGUUAAGUGGGAAGAAAGACUCGUCUCUAAUACAGACGAGGGAUGACUGUACCAUUAAAGAAAGCACCGGCUAACUUCGUGCCAGCAGCCGCGGUAAUACGAAGGGUGCUAGCGUUAUUCGGAAUAAUUGGGCGUAAAGGGCGCGUAGGUGGCAUGUUAAGUUUGCUGUUAAAUCUUCCAGCCUAACUGGAAAACUGCAGCAAAAACUGGCAAGCUAGAGUGUAAGAGAGAGAAGUGGAAUUCUCGGAGUAGCGGUAAAAUGCGUAGAUCUCGAGAGGAACACCGAUGGCGAAGGCAGCUUCUUGGCUUACUACUGACACUGAGGCGCGAAAGCGUGGGGAGCAAACAGGAUUAGAUACCCUGGUAGUCCACGCUGUAAACGAUGAUCACUAGAUGU